RNAcentral lists this ribosomal RNA (511 nucleotides) under uncultured bacterium. Its description in RNAcentral is "bacterial SSU rRNA". It matches the Rfam family "Bacterial small subunit ribosomal RNA", at positions 28 to 522 of the family's 1533-position model. The record is from RNAcentral.
GAUGAACGCUGGCGGCGUGCCUAAUACAUGCAAGUCGAGCGAAUUUAGAAAGCUUGCUUUCUAAAUUAGCGGCGGACGGGUGAGUAACACGUAGGUAACCUGCCUGAUAGAUUGGGAUAACACCGAGAAAUCGGUGCUAAUACCGAAUAUUUUCUAAGCUUCGCAUGAAGCAUAGAAGAAAGGUGGCGCAAGCUACCACUAUCAGAUGGACCUGCGGCGCAUUAGCUAGUUGGUGAGGUAAUAGCUCACCAAGGCGACGAUGCGUAGCCGACCUGAGAGGGUGAUCGGCAACACUGGGACUGAGACACGGCCCAGACUCCUACGGGAGGCAGCAGUAGGGAAUCUUCCGCAAUGGACGAAAGUCUGACGGAGCAACGCCGCGUGAGCGAUGAAGGCCUUCGGGUCGUAAAGCUCUGUUGUUAGGGAAGAACAAGUAUCGUUCGAAUAGGGCGGUACCUUGACGGUACCUAAUUAGAAAGCCACGGCUAACUACGUGCCAGCCGCCGCUGUA